RNAcentral lists this ribosomal RNA (460 nucleotides) under uncultured bacterium. RNAcentral describes it as "SSU rRNA". It matches the Rfam family "Bacterial small subunit ribosomal RNA", at positions 26 to 518 of the family's 1533-position model. The record is from RNAcentral.
AGAAUGAACGCUGGCGGCAUGCCUAACACAUGCAAGUCGAACGAACCCUUCGGGGUUAGUGGCGCACGGGUGCGUAACGCGUGGGAAUCUGCCCCUCGGUUCGGAAUAACAGUUAGAAAUGACUGCUAAUACCGGAUAACGACGUAAGUCCAAAGAUUUAUCGCCGAGGGAUGAGCCCGCGUAGGAUUAGCUAGUUGGUGUGGUAAAGGCGCACCAAGGCGACGAUCCUUAGCUGGUCUGAGAGGAUGAUCAGCCACACUGGGACUGAGACACGGCCCAGACUCCUACGGGAGGCAGCAGUGGGGAAUAUUGGACAAUGGGCGAAAGCCUGAUCCAGCAAUGCCGCGUGAGUGAUGAAGGCCUUAGGGUUGUAACCUCUUUCAGUAGGGAACAAGGCCGGCUUUUGGUUGGUUGAGGGUACCUGCAGAGAAGCGCCGGCUAACUACGUGCCAGCAGCCGC